UAGAGUUUGAUCCUGGCUCAGGACGAACGCUGGCGGCGUGCUUAACACAUACAAGUCGAACGAUGAAGCUCAGCUUGCUGGGUGGAUUAGUGGCGAACGGGUGAGUAACACGUGGGUGAUCUGCCCUGCACUUCGGGAUAAGCCUGGGAAACUGGGUCUAAUACCGGAUAUGACCAAAGGCUGCAUGGUUUUUGGUGGAAAGUUUUUCGGUGCAGGAUGAGCCCGCGGCCUAUCAGCUUGUUGGUGGGGUAAUGGCCUACCAAGGCGACGACGGGUAGCCGGCCUGAGAGGGCGACCGGCCACACUGGGACUGAGACACGGCCCAGACUCCUACGGGAGGCAGCAGUGGGGAAUAUUGCACAAUGGGCGAAAGCCUGAUGCAGCGACGCCGCGUGAGGGAUGACGGCCUUCGGGUUGUAAACCUCUUUCACCCAUGACGAAGCGCAAGUGACGGUAGUGGGAGAAGAAGCACCGGCCAACUACGUGCCAGCAGCCGCGGUAAUACGUAGGGUGCGAGCGUUGUCCGGAAUUACUGGGCGUAAAGAGCUCGUAGGCGGUUUGUCGCGUCGUCUGUGAAAUCCCGCAGCUCAACUGCGGGCUUGCAGGCGAUACGGGCAAACUUGAGUACUGCAGGGGAGACUGGAAUUCCUGGUGUAGCGGUGAAAUGCGCAGAUAUCAGGAGGAACACCGGUGGCGAAGGCGGGUCUCUGGGCAGUAACUGACGCUGAGGAGCGAAAGCGUGGGUAGCGAACAGGAUUAGAUACCCUGGUAGUCCACGCCGUAACGGUGGGCGCUAGGUGUGGGUUUCCUUCCACGGGAUCCGUGCCGUAGCUAACGCAUUAAGCGCCCCGCCUGGGGAGUACGG
This 865-nucleotide ribosomal RNA is filed under the name uncultured bacterium. RNAcentral describes it as "bacterial SSU rRNA". It matches the Rfam family "Bacterial small subunit ribosomal RNA", at positions 1 to 885 of the family's 1533-position model. The record is from RNAcentral.